Phodopus roborovskii (desert hamster) is the source of this 105-nucleotide small nuclear RNA. The record is from RefSeq and is a predicted model, not a curated record. Lineage: Eukaryota; Metazoa; Chordata; Mammalia; Rodentia; Cricetidae.
AUGCUCAAUUUGAUAGCACAUAUACUAAAAUUGGAACUCUACAGAGAAGGUUAGCAUGGCGCCUGUGCAAGGAUGACACAAAUUCAUGAAGCAUUCCAUAUUUUU